UACGUAGGGGGCUAGCGUUGCUCGGAAUCACUGGGCGUAAAGGGUGCGUAGGCGGGUCUUUAAGUCAGGGGGGAAAUCCUGGAGCUCAACUCCAGAACUGCCUUUGAUACUGAAGAUCUUGAGUUCGGGAGAGGUGAGUGGAACUGCGAGUGUAGAGGUGAAAUUCGUAGAUAUUCGCAAGAACACCAGUGGCGAAGGCGGCUCACUGGCCCGAUACUGACGCUGAGGCACGAAAGCGUGGGGAGCAAACAGG
RNAcentral lists this ribosomal RNA (253 nucleotides) under uncultured bacterium. Its description in RNAcentral is "partial 16S ribosomal RNA". It matches the Rfam family "Bacterial small subunit ribosomal RNA", at positions 524 to 776 of the family's 1533-position model. The record is from RNAcentral.